AGUGGCAGACGGGUGAGUAACGUGUAGGUAUCUUCCCUUUGGCCUGGAAUAACACGAGGAAACUUGUGCUAAUACUGGAUAAGUCUUUACGGAGAAAGCUUUAUGCACCAUUGGAUGAGCCUGCACUUGAUUAGUUUGUUGGUAGGGUAAUGGCCUACCAAGACUGUGAUCAAUAGCUGAUUUGAGAGGAUGAUCAGCCACAUUGGGACUGAGACACGGCCCAAACUCCUACGGGAGGCAGCAGUGGGGAAUAUUGCACAAUGGAGGAAACUCUGAUGCAGCGAUGCCGCGUGAGUGAAGAAGGCCCUUGGGUUGUAAAGCUCUUUCGUCGGGGAAGAAAAUGACUGUACCCGAAUAAGAAGGUCCGGCUAACUUCGUGCCAGCAGCCGCGGUAAUACGAAGGGACCUAGCGUAGUUCGGAAUUACUGGGCCUAAAGAGUUCGUAGGUGGUUGAAAAAGUUGGUGGUGAAAUCCCAGAGCUUAACUCUGGAACUGCCAUCAAAACUUUUCAGCUAGAGUAUGAUAGAGGAAAGCAGAAUUUCUAGUGUAGAGGUGAAAUUCGUAGAUAUUAGAAAGAAUACCAAUUGCGAAGGCAGCUUUCUGGAUCAUUACUGACACUGAGGAACGAAAGCAUGGGUAGCGAAGAGGAUUAGAUACCCUCGUAGUCCAUGCCGUAAACGAUGUGUGUUAGACGUUGGAAAUUUAUUUUCCGUGUCGCAGCGAAAGCGAUAAACACACCGCCUGGGGAGUAC
This 752-nucleotide ribosomal RNA is filed under the name uncultured marine bacterium. Its description in RNAcentral is "bacterial SSU rRNA". It matches the Rfam family "Bacterial small subunit ribosomal RNA", at positions 94 to 883 of the family's 1533-position model. The record is from RNAcentral.